AAAUGCACCGCUUCGUUUAGCCAUAGUCACGUGACUUUGGUGUUUCGAAUCACAUUUCGGAGCAGUGUUUCGAAACAUCUACGCUUCGGGAUCUCGACACAGUGUCGAAACGUCAGUUUCGCCGCGGGAGCCAUCCCUAGUAAGAUAUAGUUUAAAUAAAAUGUCUGAGGUGGUUCAAAAUGGUGAACCCACCCCCAGACGUCCUGGAGUGGGACUUGGGGUUCUUGUGACAGACUCCUUCAACCCAGGAUGCGUCCUGCUGGGGAAAAGGAAAAGCACGGUUGGGAAAGGUAAAUACCAGUUACCAGGAGGUCACAUUGAAUUUGGAGAAACUUGGGAGGACUGCGCGCAGAGAGAGGUGAUGGAGGAAGCUGGUGUCCAUUUGAAAAACAUCUGCUUUGCAUAUGUCCUCAACUCCAUCAGACUGGAAGAAAACUACCAUUAUAUCACAAUCUUCAUGCAUGGAGAACUGGACAGGUCUUUAUCAGCUGAACCAGUCAAUUUGGAGCCAGAGAAAAAUGAAGGUAGUCUAUAUCUUUGUGUUGAGUGUAUUAUCGCCUGUCUAGUUUCAGCCCCAGGUGGUCCGCCUACAGGUCUCAACAACAGUGAAAAAAAUCUGUAGCGUAAUGGUCAUACGAUAUGGGCUUAAUGAAUCAGGGAAGGAUUUGCAAUGAUCCAGAAGACCCAGUCAGAGAGCGCAUGUGAGCUUCGCUUACCCAAGUCCCCAUUUAGGUUGGGCAUGGAGACGAUGGGAGGAGUUUCCACCUGAAGAGCAGCUUUUCUUACCGUUGGCAAAUCUGAGACAGCAGGGAUUUCAGCCAUUCGGGACAAGUUAAAGGGAUUUUUUGUAAUCAGGACAGUUUUAACACCUGUUUUAACACCUAAUUCAAGGUCAGGUGAACCAUGCCCCCCUUCAGGCAUAGAGAGAAACUGCAUUUCAAGCUUAUUUUGAAGAGAAUCUGAGGGUAUAUCAACAAUGUGUGCUGACUCUGUGUACAAAGAUACAUUAUAUUCAGAUUGAUUGUUUACCGUUAUUGCAGUUACUCGGCAUAUAGAUGAAUGGAUAUUGUAAUUACAGCUCCUCAAUGUUAAUGGUUUACCAUCCACAUGCAUACUGUAGUAAAGUUAUAUUAUAGUUAUGCAUAACAGUUUAUCAUUUAGUUUUUGCACACUGGUAAACUGACUGUGGAUUUGAAGACUUUUACACAUAAUUUGUCAAACAGCCUUGAACAUAAUUUUUUUAUAAUUCCUUUAAGAUUUUUUUGUAGUUCACAAGAAUAUUAUAUAUUAUAUUAGCCCCUUAGCAUUCCAGAAAAAGGCUAAAAAAUGCCUUAAAGGACACAAAUUGUACCUUCUGUGUUGAUUGUAUCUUAAAACAGUUUACAUUAUUCAAAUCACAAGAAUUUCAGCGUUCCAAAGAUAUGUGACAUGUUUAGCUUUUUGUUUUUGAGUUAUUGUAUUUGAUGAAGUUUUCUUUCAAAUAA
Misgurnus anguillicaudatus (oriental weatherfish) is the source of this 1484-nucleotide non-coding RNA. The record is from RefSeq and is a predicted model, not a curated record. NCBI's taxonomy places the organism in Eukaryota, Metazoa, Chordata, Actinopteri, Cypriniformes, Cobitidae.